UACGUAGGGUGCGAGCGUUGCCCGGAUUUAUUGGGCGUAAAGGGCGCGUAGGCGGCUCUGCACGUCCGUUGUGAAAUCGCCCGGCUCAACUGGGCGGGGUCAGCGGAUACGGCGGAGCUUGAGCAAGCUAGGGGGCGAUGGAAUUCCCGGUGCAGUGGUGGAAUGCGUAGAGAUCGGGAGGAACACCUGUGGCGAAGGCGGCCACCUGGGCCGACCCUGACGCUGAGGCGCGAAGGCGUGGGGAGCGAACGGG
Molecule: ribosomal RNA, 253 nt
Filed under: uncultured bacterium
Lineage: Bacteria
Description: partial 16S ribosomal RNA
Rfam family: Bacterial small subunit ribosomal RNA
Source: RNAcentral